This 423-nucleotide ribosomal RNA is filed under the name Exiguobacterium sp. DANO. RNAcentral's name for it is "partial 16S ribosomal RNA". It matches the Rfam family "Bacterial small subunit ribosomal RNA", at positions 52 to 453 of the family's 1533-position model. The record is from RNAcentral. Lineage: Bacteria; Bacillati; Bacillota; Bacilli; Caryophanales.
UAUCUGCAGUCGAGCGCAGGAAGNCGUCUCAACCCUUCGGGGGGACGACGGUGGAAUGGAGCGGCGAANGGGUAAGUAACACGUAAAGAACCUGCCCAUAGGUCGGGAAUACCCACAAGAAAUCGGGGCUAAUACCGGAGGUGUCAUCGGCCCGCAGGGUCCGUUAAUGAAAGGCGCUCCGGCGUCGCCCAKGGAUGGCUUUGCGGUGCAUUAGCUAGUUGGGGGGGUAACGGCCCCCCAAGGCAACAAUGCUUACCCAACCUGAGAGGGUAAUCGCCACCCUGGGACUGAGACCCCGCCCAAACUUCCUACGGAAGGCAGCAGUAGGGAUUCUCCCACAAUGGCCGAAAUUCUGAUGAAGCACCGCCGCUUGACCGAUAAAGGUUUUCGGGUCGAAAGGUUUUUUUGUAAGGGAUGAUUAAG